Molecule: ribosomal RNA, 776 nt
Filed under: Candidatus Brocadia carolinensis
Lineage: Bacteria; Pseudomonadati; Planctomycetota; Candidatus Brocadiia; Candidatus Brocadiales; Candidatus Brocadiaceae
Description: bacterial SSU rRNA
Rfam family: Bacterial small subunit ribosomal RNA
Source: RNAcentral
GGAUUAGGCAUGCAAGUCGAACGGUGAAGCGGGAGCUUGCUCCUGUGGAUCAGUGGCGAACGGGUGAGUAACACGUGAGUAACCUGCCCCAGACUCUGGGAUAACCAUGAGAAAUCGUGGCUAAUACCGGAUACGAGACGCACACGCAUGUGCAGCGUCUGGAAAGAACUUCGGUCUGGGAUGGACUCGCGGCCUAUCAGCUUGUUGGUGAGGUAAUGGCUCACCAAGGCGACGACGGGUAGCCGGCCUGAGAGGGCGACCGGCCACACUGGGACUGAGACACGGCCCAGACUUCUACGGGAGGCAGCAGUGGGGAAUAUUGCACAAUGGGCGAAAGCCUGAUGCAGCGACGCCGCGUGAGGGAUGAAGGCCUUCGGGUUGUAAACCUCUUUCAGCAGGGAAGAAGCGAAAGUGACGGUACCUGCAGAAGAAGCGCCGGCUAACUACGUGCCAGCAGCCGCGGUAAUACGUAGGGCGCAAGCGUUGUCCGGAAUUAUUGGGCGUAAAGAGCUCGUAGGCGGUCUGUCGCGCCUGCUGUGAAAACCCGAGGCUCAACCUCGGGCUUGCAGUGGAUACGGGCAGACUAGAGUGCGGUAGGGGAGACUGGAAUUCCUGGUGUAGCGGUAAAAUGCACAGAUAUCAGGAGGAACACCGAUGGCGAAGGCAGGUCUCUGGGCCGCAACUGACGCUGAGGAGCGAAAGCAUGGGUAGCAAACAGGAUUAGAUACCCUGGUAGUCCAUGCCGUAAACGUUGGGCACUAAGUAGAGGGGUUUUA